This 492-nucleotide ribosomal RNA is filed under the name uncultured bacterium. RNAcentral describes it as "partial 16S ribosomal RNA". It matches the Rfam family "Bacterial small subunit ribosomal RNA", at positions 29 to 507 of the family's 1533-position model. The record is from RNAcentral.
AGUGAACGCUGGCGGUAGGCCUAACACAUGCAAGUCGGACGGCAGCACAGUAAGAGCUUGCUCUUACGGGUGGCGAGUGGCGGACGGGUGAGGAAUACAUCGGAGUCUACUUUUUCGUGGGGGAUAACGUAGGGAAACUUACGCUAAUACCGCAUACGACCUACGGGUGAAAGCAGGGGAUCUUCGGACCUUGCGCGAUUGAAUGAGCCGAUGUCGGAUUAGCUAGUUGGCGGGGUAAGGGCCCACCAAGGCGACGAUCCGUAGCUGGUCUGAGAGGAUGAUCAGCCACACUGGAACUGAGACACGGUCCAGACUCCUACGGGAGGCAGCAGUGGGGAAUAUUGGACAAUGGGCGCAAGCCUGAUCCAGCCAUACCGCGUGGGUGAAGAAGGCCUUCGGGUUGUAAAGCCCUUUUGUUGGGAAAGAAAAGCAGCAGGUUAAUACCCCGCUGUUCUGACGGUACCCAAAGAAUAAGCACCGGCUAACUUCGUG